UCGGCUGGCCAAGAUCCCGCCAGGUUACUAGGGCAGCGUGAGAAAGCCGUGUGAGUCUGCUGGAAUGCAGGAGGCCUUCGAGUGCAGAUGCUCAAUAAAUACUGAUUGAUAACAACUCAUAUUUAGUGCUAUAACGAAGAUUAGUAAAAUUAAUUGGAAACACAUUUAAUGUUAGCGUGGUUGGUAUGAUUCAUGGCUAACACAUAAAAACCAAAGUAAAAGUCAAGUUUUACACGUCCUCUCUUCUCUUUUUUUAAGGACUUUAGUGGAGAUGAGCUGUCACUCGCUAUUAAAAGUUCAAAGUCAAAUUUGCAGUCCACUUCUGGCAAGGAAGACAGAGCUGCGUGAGGCCAUAUACAUGUUACCUCCUAAAAGAAUUGUGAACCAAGAAAAGCAAGAGCCCAGCUUGAUGAGUUCCACUGACCU
This 426-nucleotide long non-coding RNA is filed under the name Felis catus (domestic cat). RNAcentral's name for it is "lncRNA (ENSFCAG00000040870.2)". The record is from RNAcentral. Lineage: Eukaryota; Metazoa; Chordata; Mammalia; Carnivora; Felidae.